RNAcentral lists this ribosomal RNA (700 nucleotides) under uncultured beta proteobacterium. RNAcentral describes it as "bacterial SSU rRNA". It matches the Rfam family "Bacterial small subunit ribosomal RNA", at positions 56 to 749 of the family's 1533-position model. The record is from RNAcentral. Lineage: Bacteria; Pseudomonadati; Pseudomonadota; Betaproteobacteria.
UGCAAGUCGAACGGCAGCGCGGGUGCUUGCACCUGGCGGCGAGUGGCGAACGGGUGAGUAAUACAUCGGAACGUGCCCUAGAGUGGGGGAUAACUAGUCGAAAGAUUAGCUAAUACCGCAUACGAUCUACGGAUGAAAGUGGGGGACCGCAAGGCCUCAUGCUCCUGGAGCGGCCGAUGUCUGAUUAGCUAGUUGGUGGGGUAAUGGCCUACCAAGGCGACGAUCAGUAGCUGGUCUGAGAGGACGACCAGCCACACUGGGACUGAGACACGGCCCAGACUCCUACGGGAGGCAGCAGUGGGGAAUUUUGGACAAUGGGGGCAACCCUGAUCCAGCAAUGCCGCGUGUGUGAAGAAGGCCUUCGGGUUGUAAAGCACUUUUGUCAGGAACGAAACGGUGGGGGCUAAUACCCUCUGCUAAUGACGGUACCUGAAGAAUAAGCACCGGCUAACUACGUGCCAGCAGCCGCGGUAAUACGUAGGGUGCGAGCGUUAAUCGGAAUUACUGGGCGUAAAGCGUGCGCAGGCGGUUGUGCAAGACAGAUGUGAAAUCCCCGGGCUCAACCUGGGAAUGGCAUUUGUGACUGCACGGCUAGAGUGUGUCAGAGGGGGGUAGAAUUCCACGUGUAGCAGUGAAAUGCGUAGAUAUGUGGAGGAAUACCGAUGGCGAAGGCAGCCCCCUGGGAUAACACUGACGCUCA